This 338-nucleotide ribosomal RNA is filed under the name uncultured bacterium. Its description in RNAcentral is "partial 16S ribosomal RNA". It matches the Rfam family "Bacterial small subunit ribosomal RNA", at positions 338 to 690 of the family's 1533-position model. The record is from RNAcentral.
CCUACGGGAGGCUGCAGUGGGGAAUAUUGCACAAUGGGCGAAAGCCUGAUGCAGCAACGCCGCGUGAAGGAAGACGGUUUUCGGAUUGUAAACUUCUAUCAAUAGGGAAGAAAGAAAGGACGGGACCGAAAGAAGAAGCAGCGGCUAACUACGGGCCAGCAGCCGCGGUAAGACGUAGGGGGCAAGCGUUAGCCGGAAUUACGGGGGGUAAAGGGAGAGGAGGCGGCAAGGGAAGAGAUAGGGGAAAGCCUGAGGCUUAACCAAAGGAGUGCCUAACGAACUCUCUAGCUAGAGUACAGGAGAGGCCAGCGGACUUCCUCGUGUCGCGGUGAACUGCG